Cavia porcellus (domestic guinea pig) is the source of this 2772-nucleotide long non-coding RNA. RefSeq lists it as uncharacterized. The record is from RefSeq and is a predicted model, not a curated record. NCBI's taxonomy places the organism in Eukaryota, Metazoa, Chordata, Mammalia, Rodentia, Caviidae. The transcript has 2 exons.
AUUUAGGAGGCGCAGAUGCUUACAUCGGUCGGAACCCAGGACCACACAGCGGUGGGGACGCCAGGUGGCGCUUGCUAAGGGGCUGGCCCGACUGUGGCUAGGUAGUGACAGCGCGUGGGAAGCCGGAGACUGGAAAAGGGAGAAGAGGAAAAGUACCGGCAAGAGGACGCUGACCCGCAGGGACUAGGACCUGCGAGGGAUAACGUCAGUGGGGCGAGACGGGAUCCCCAGACCGGCGACCCGGCAGAAGUGCGUGGCCCACGAGUGGCGCCCCGGCGGGAAGUACCCACGACUGGACCCUGUGCCCCCCAGAGCCGACCCUGCCACCAGCGCCUGCUCCUUGGUCUUCACCCUCAGCGACCUACAGUUCCAUUAAUGAUGGUCUCUACCAGAGAGCCUUUAAGUAUUGAAGACAUGCGCAACUUCCCCAGGGGCUCCGGGGAGUGUGGGGAAGAUGUUCCAUGAGCCCAGGAAAGUCUUCCUGGACCCGACCACUCAGGCUCUUCUUGAGGCCCUUCGGAGCUGCUCCAGUGGAAUCUGGGAGUUAUAAACAACGAGUUUCACACCGAGACUGCCACUUGUAACUGUUAUGUCAUGCACAGGUCACUUAAAGGUUCCAACGGCUUUCUCCUUUGCAAUGUUGAGAUUUAUUGCUUAAACGUGGAAGAAAUGCAUAGUGUAUGUGGGAGCCACAUUUCCCAUCUUUAUGCCUAGCUCUUCUUGUGCCUGGCAGUUUCUAGAGUGCAGCUCCAAAGAUGUUUUGGGUCAAUUAAGGACGACUGUGCAUUUAAGAAAUUUUUUCCCAGCACAGCAUGGUGUCACACCUCUGUAACCCACACUGGGACCUAAAGCAGGAAGACUGUAGAUUGGAGUCCACUCAUGUAUCCUGGUGAGGCUAUAGGUUAGAAUAAUACAUACUGGAAAAAAAGGACUGGGCACGAAGCUCAGUUGGAAGGCCCUGUGUUCAAUCCCCAGGACCACAGAAAAUAUUUUCCUAAAUUGUGACUGAAAACUGAUUAUGGGAUGUCUGAUUUGUUCUAACUUCAAGUUUGCUGAGACUAGUAGUUCUCCCACUGUCUCUUAUCUCGCUGUACUAAAUAGAUGUUUCCAAAUUAUCCUAGAAGGAGAAGAGCUAAAGGAAAGAUGCUAACAGAAGAAAAUGAACAAUGAGAAUUAAAAAAAAAACUCAAAUUAGGUUGGGAAAGUUUUUUGUUCUGGCUAAAAACUUGAAAUAAAAUAAAAAGCCCAGAACUGUGGACAGUUAGUGUUUCCAACAAUGCGAGACUGAACCUGAGGCUGAGAACCUUCAGGUAGGCAAACCAAAUCUCACUUCUAAAACAGAUUUUGCAGAGGGAAGAGAUUCAACCAGAACUGAAGUAGCCGUUGUGGGUACUUUCUACCGCUAAGGAGAAUCAGAACAUGCUGCAGACAUUACAGAAAUAAAAUAAUCCCAGAGGCUGCUAGGGACUGGGAAGUACUUCCAGGUUCUACAGCAGAAAUAUUCCUGAAGCAACAAUUGAGUUAGGCAGGCAGCCAGCUGGGAGAGAAAAACAGUACACUCGAGGAAGACCCAGGCUUGGGAGCCCACGACUGCAGUUCAGAUGAGUUCUGCCUUCCCAUUGGGAGAAAUCCAUCAGUAGAGGUCCUAAAAAAGGUGUUCUAGAAACUGAAGGCUUCUCAAAAUGUGUUAGAAAACCAGAGUACCAGUUGAAGCAGGUCUUCGAACCAGGCUUGGAUGGUGCUCAAAAGAAUAGGAUGAUUCAAAAAACACACUGUGCCCUCUGCUAGGUCCUGAAUCAAGAAUAAACCCAAACUGAAUAUACUGAAUUUUCUCAUCACUUUUUCUACUUACCAUUCUUGUGUAUCUUACUUACACCACUGUUUAGUUUUAACACAGAAAUUAUAGCUCAAGAUAGCAUGUAGUUCCCUUCACCUGAGUAUCCAAUUCAUGAGCUGAACAGACAGAACUCAGAAAGCCUGGUAUCUGCGACCAACUUCACAUUCUCGCCUCUGGGGACGUAACCUUCUAGGGAGGCUGAAGGACUCGGACAUUGGUGAAGACUUUGGGCUUUGCCAGCUCCUGCCCGAACAUACACCACUGUCCCAAAUAAUCUAACUCCGGAGCCAGAAAUUCAUCUGGUCACAGUAUCUCUUAUUUCUUCGUCACAGAGCUUGCCGCACAGGAACGCGAACUUACCUGGUAAGGUACUGGAAAUCCCUAGCCCCACAUGAGCAGCGAGCUGACCAACUAAAAUAUCAAUCUGCAUUUUGCCUGCUUUGCUAUAAGAAAUUACCAAGGGAGAUGAUGUUACAGAAAUUGAGGGAGGUAACAACUCUGUAACCCUUGAAUGAUAAGAAGAAGCCUACAGAGCAAACAGCUGGGCAGGAAAACAUUCCAGACAGAGUCAAUCAAAACACAUACACAUGUGGAAAAGGUCUGAAAACAGACUAAGUGUGUUAAGUUCACAGAGCAGAAAGCUACAAGUAGCCAAAGCAGAGGUGGGGAGCCGUCAGAGUGUCAGCAGAGGAGCGGAAGGCGGAACUGAGAAAGGACAGACAGACAAGGAACAAACAUGCUGUUGGCCCCACAUCUGGGCGAACAGUAGUACCACUGCUCAAAGGGGAAAGAAGCGACUACAGAACAAGGAAAGACUCAGAGAUUUAAGUUGAAGCGUUCCCUUUUAAGGAGGUAGACAGAACAUAUGCUUUCAGGUAUGAACUGUUAUUAAAAGGUAUUUCAGACACACAAAAACAUAAAAAGCUACAACCCAU